GAAAAGAAAAAAAAAAGAAAAGGGGAAAGCAAGAGAGGGGCGGCAGAGAAAGAGGAGGAGGGAAGGAUAGUGCUCUUGGAGAGGAAAGCAAUCUUAGGCUCUAAUUCAUCUUUGUCCAAGUAAAAAGGAUGAAGAUGCUUGAGCAUGGGGUGCAUGGGGAGGGAGAUCAAAGUCAUUUUUUUUUUUAAUUAUUUUCUUGUGUCAAGAACUUAGUUGAUUUUAUUUUAUUUUUCUCUUUCUAAGGAGUUGUUGAAAUAGAUGAAUUGAAUAAGUGUCCAAAUAUUCACAGAUUGCAAUUGUUUUAAGUUUAUCUAAUAGGGUUCUUUUCAAUUUUCUUA
Long non-coding RNA from Tripterygium wilfordii, 338 nucleotides. RefSeq lists it as uncharacterized. NCBI's taxonomy places the organism in Eukaryota, Viridiplantae, Streptophyta, Magnoliopsida, Celastrales, Celastraceae. The transcript is spliced from 2 exons. The record is from RefSeq and is a predicted model, not a curated record.